This 53-nucleotide transfer RNA is filed under the name Pachydactylus punctatus. Its description in RNAcentral is "partial tRNA-Cys". Lineage: Eukaryota; Metazoa; Chordata; Lepidosauria; Squamata; Gekkonidae. The record is from RNAcentral.
UCGAAAUGCAAGUUCGGAGAAGCACMCAAGAGGUGCCGGGGCUUCUCCCGUUU